RNAcentral lists this ribosomal RNA (497 nucleotides) under uncultured bacterium. RNAcentral's name for it is "partial 16S ribosomal RNA". It matches the Rfam family "Bacterial small subunit ribosomal RNA", at positions 28 to 507 of the family's 1533-position model. The record is from RNAcentral.
GACGAACGCUGGCGGCGUGCCUAAUACAUGCAAGUAGAACGCUGAAGGAAGGAGCUUGCUCUUUCUGGAUGAGUUGCGAACGGGUGAGUAACGCGUAGGUAACCUGCCUGGUAGCGGGGGAUAACUAUUGGAAACGAUAGCUAAUACCGCAUAAAAUUGAUUAUUGCAUGAUAGUCAAUUAAAAGGUGCAACUGCACCACUACCAGAUGGACCUGCGUUGUAUUAGCUAGUUGGUGGGGUAACGGCUCACCAAGGCGACGAUACAUAGCCGACCUGAGAGGGUGAUCGGCCACACUGGGACUGAGACACGGCCCAGACUCCUACGGGAGGCAGCAGUAGGGAAUCUUCGGCAAUGGACGGAAGUCUGACCGAGCAACGCCGCGUGAGUGAAGAAGGUUUUCGGAUCGUAGAGCUCUGUUGUAAGAGAAGAACGAGUGUGAGAGUGGAAAGUUCACACUGUGACGGUACCUUACCAGAAAGGGACGGCUAACUACGUG